Molecule: ribosomal RNA, 657 nt
Filed under: uncultured fungus
Lineage: Eukaryota; Fungi
Description: eukaryotic LSU rRNA
Rfam family: Eukaryotic large subunit ribosomal RNA
Source: RNAcentral
CCCGCUGAACUUAAGCAUAUUACUCAGCGGAGGAAAAGAAAACAACCGUGAUUCCCUCAGUCAGCGGCGAGCGAAGAGGGACCGAACUCGUUGCCGAAUCGGGUCUCAAAGGCCUUGAGUUGUGGCAAAAACGCUUUUCUGUGAUUGGUGCGGGACUGGCAAAAUUCAAGCGCAAAGCAAACCCAUUGCUGAAUACAACCCUUCAUGUGAGUAUUGAGCCAAAGAAGGUGUUAGCCCAUUGAGCCAUAAACCCGAGCACCUCACUUGAGAAGUACCAAGAGAGUAGCACUGUUUGGAAAUGCAGUGUCAAGAGGCAGGUAUGUGUCUGCCAAAGUUAAAUAUAGAGUAGGAAGACCGAUAUCGAACAAGUAGCGUGAGCGAAAGUUUGAAAAGCACUUUGGAAAGAGAGUGACAUAGAACCUGAAGUCGUGACAAUGAUAAUGGAAGUACCUCCAUUUCACCGGCCAAAACCAGCCUGGCAGCAUUUUCUUCGUGGGGUUUAAAAUCCGCGGGGUAACAAAGUGCAAGAUUCAGGGCAUUGGUGUUAAUGGGCGGGGAAAAAGCUUGUGGCACCGCUUGCGGCGAGCUGCUUGUCUUCCCUGUGACGCUCAAUUUUGGCGAAGGAAAUGGGGUGCCUUCACCCGUCUUGAAACACGG